AUACGGAGGCUGCGAGCGUUGUUCGGAAUUAUUGGGCGUAAAGAGCAUGUAGGCGGUCUGUUAAGUCUGGUGUGAAAGCCCGGGGCUCAACCCCGGAAGUGCAUUGGAUACUGGCAGACUUGAGUAUGGGAGAGGAAAGCGGAAUUCCGAGUGUAGGAGUGAAAUCCGUAGAUAUUCGGAGGAACACCAGUGGCGAAGGCGGCUUUCUGGACCAAUACUGACGCUGAGAUGCGAAAGCGUGGGGAGCAAACAGGAUUAGAUACCCCAGUAGUCC
RNAcentral lists this ribosomal RNA (274 nucleotides) under uncultured bacterium. Its description in RNAcentral is "partial 16S ribosomal RNA". It matches the Rfam family "Bacterial small subunit ribosomal RNA", at positions 523 to 796 of the family's 1533-position model. The record is from RNAcentral.